This 465-nucleotide ribosomal RNA is filed under the name uncultured Klebsiella sp. Its description in RNAcentral is "bacterial SSU rRNA". It matches the Rfam family "Bacterial small subunit ribosomal RNA", at positions 338 to 795 of the family's 1533-position model. Lineage: Bacteria; Pseudomonadati; Pseudomonadota; Gammaproteobacteria; Enterobacterales; Enterobacteriaceae. The record is from RNAcentral.
CCUACGGGUGGCAGCAGUGGGGAAUAUUGCACAAUGGGCGCAAGCCUGAUGCGGCCAUGCCGCGUGUGUGAAGAAGGCCUUCGGGUUGUAAAGCACUUUCAGCGGGGAGGAAGGCGUUAAGGUUAAUAACCUUGGCGAUUGACGUUACCCGCAGAAGAAGCACCGGCUAACUCCGUGCCAGCAGCCGCGGUAAUACGGAGGGUGCAAGCGUUAAUCGGAAUUACUGGGCGUAAAGCGCACGCAGGCGGUCUGUCAAGUCGGAUGUGAAAUCCCCGGGCUCAACCUGGGAACUGCAUUCGAAACUGGCAGGCUAGAGUCUUGUAGAGGGGGGUAGAAUUCCAGGUGUAGCGGUGAAAUGCGUAGAGAUCUGGAGGAAUACCGGUGGCGAAGGCGGCCCCCUGGACAAAGACUGACGCUCAGGUGCGAAAGCGUGGGGAGCAAACAGGAUUAGAUACCCUAGUAGUC